Molecule: ribosomal RNA, 402 nt
Filed under: uncultured bacterium
Lineage: Bacteria
Description: bacterial SSU rRNA
Rfam family: Bacterial small subunit ribosomal RNA
Source: RNAcentral
UCGGGAAUUUUGGGCAAUGGUCGAAAGCCUGACCCAGCAACGCCGCGUGAGGGAUGAAGUAUUUCGGUAUGUAAACCUCGAAAGAAUGGGAAGAAUAAAUGACGGUACCAUUUAUAAGCUCCGGCUAACUACGUGCCAGCAGCCGCGGUAAUACGUAGGGAGCAAGCGUUGUUCGGAUUUACUGGGCGUAAAGGGCGCGUAGGCGGCGCGGUAAGUCACUUGUGAAAUCUCUGAGCUUAACUCAGAACGGCCAAGUGAUACUGCUGUGCUGGAGUGCGGAAGAGGCAACCGGAAUUCUUGGUGUAGCGGUGAAAUGCGUAGAUAUCAAGAGGAACACCUGAGGCGAAGGCGGGUUGCUGGGCCGACACUGACGCUGAUGCGCGAAAGCCAGGGGAGCAAACG